This 317-nucleotide ribosomal RNA is filed under the name uncultured bacterium. RNAcentral's name for it is "bacterial SSU rRNA". It matches the Rfam family "Bacterial small subunit ribosomal RNA", at positions 97 to 416 of the family's 1533-position model. The record is from RNAcentral.
GGCGGACGGGUGAGUAACACAUCGGAAUUUGCCCAGUCGCGGGGGAUAACGUAGGGAAACUUACGCUAAUACCGCAUACGACCUUACGGUGAAAGCGGGGGAGUCGCAAGACCUCGCGCGGAUGGAUGAGCCGAUGUCGGAUUAGCUAGUUGGUGGGGUAAAGGCCUACCAAGGCGACGAUCCGUAGCUGGUCUGAGAGGAUGAUCAGCCACACUGGGACUGAGACACGGCCCAGACUCCUACGGGAGGCAGCAGUGGGGAAUAUUGGACAAUGGGGGCAACCCUGAUCCAGCAAUGCCGCGUGUGUGAAGAAGGCC